RNAcentral lists this ribosomal RNA (418 nucleotides) under uncultured Hymenobacter sp. Its description in RNAcentral is "bacterial SSU rRNA". It matches the Rfam family "Bacterial small subunit ribosomal RNA", at positions 358 to 774 of the family's 1533-position model. The record is from RNAcentral. Lineage: Bacteria; Pseudomonadati; Bacteroidota; Cytophagia; Cytophagales; Hymenobacteraceae.
GGAAUAUUGGGCAAUGGGCGAGAGCCUGACCCAGCCAUGCCGCGUGCCGGAUGAAGGCCUUCUGGGUUGUAAACGGCUUUUCUCAGGGAAGAAAAAGGUGAUGCGUCACAAACUGACGGUACCUGAGGAAUAAGCACCGGCUAACUCCGUGCCAGCAGCCGCGGUAAUACGGAGGGUGCAAGCGUUGUCCGGAUUUAUUGGGUUUAAAGGGUGCGUAGGCGGCCCGUUAAGUCCGGGGUGAAAGCCUCUUGCUCAACAAGAGAACUGCCCUGGAUACUGGCGGGCUUGAGUCCAGACGAGGUUGGCGGAAUGGAAGGUGUAGCGGUGAAAUGCAUAGAUACCUUCCAGAACCCCGAUUGCGUAGGCAGCUGACUAGGCUGGUACUGACGCUGAGGCACGAAAGCGUGGGGAGCGAACA